GUCACGCGAACGGCAACGGCUAACGAUGAGUACCCUCAUCCGCUGGCCCACCCCCAUGACGGGAUAGUUAUGAGGGCUGUUUGCGGGUUCCGUCUGGUGCGUUUGGCGCACUUCGGGCUCGACACUGCGCUACCCCGCAGGCCGACCGAUACACGGGUUUCGUGAUCGCUGUUCUGGCAGGGUGCUAGGAAUUGAUCCGACCAGUG
The sequence is a regulatory RNA element, 206 nucleotides long. It matches the Rfam family "ilvB-OMG RNA". The record is from Rfam.